CUUAGACAAUUUGAAGAGGCCUUCUUUUAAAAAAGAAUACAGUAACACUAUUUCAGCAAGAUUUAAAAAUACAUAGAUAGGAUGCUGUGGACUCAAAAGGUGCUGAAAGUGAGGGGCUCUGGAGGUGAGAGGCCUGGAGCUUAAGCAGACCCACAUGACUCUGUUUUUGCCUCAUUACAGCCAAAUACUGGAGGGUUCUACUCAGAGUGUGAGGCAGUGCUGCCCAGGAUCAGGGCAGGGGGGGUGGGAGGCAGUGCUUCUGGACAUGCUGGUGGGAACUGGGCUGUGAGAUCCACAGGGACAUUCCCCAGACCCACCAAAGCUCUCUCAAACUGUGUCACCUGGGCUAUUUCCUCUUCGAUUAUGUGUGUCCCCCACACCCACAGAGGUCUUGUCUGUGCCAUUCCACUGGUAGGACGGUGGUGUCACCUACCAGCUCUGGGAUGGCUUCCAGGUCCCACAGACCCCUCCCCACAAAGCCACACCCUGGAAUACCCUUCACAGUGUCUCUCACCUCAGAAACUUCCCCAGCUGGCAAAGGACCAGAUGGCUGCAUCAUCAAGUCAGGGAGAGCCAGUUUUUCAAAUAGUAAUUUGCUAAAUUAGCAAUUGCUAACUCUGAAAAAAAAAAUUGAGUACUUCAGUACUUAGGACUGUCUUAUGUCUAAAGCAUGACGAUUUCUUGUGUGACUUGUACUGCAGAUGUCAUGCAUGUCAAGAGUUUUAGGACUGUCCAUCCUGCCUUCUCUUUCCCUGCUUCAUGGAUCUGAGCUCACAGUACAUAAUGAGCCUACACAUCUUGUACACAUGAACCCUCCCAGCCACAAGGGAGCCAAGUCCGGACUCCUGGAGACUUGGUGUGUCAGUCACCAAAGGAAGAUGUCCCCAGCAUGUCACCAGUCACAUCCAUCCAUGUUAGUCAGGGUCUGGUGGAAAUUAGAAGGCACAUCAAAGGGGUACCUGAGGCAAAGCACACUUCACAAAGGUGUGGACAGACUAAGGGAACCAAUGAGAGAUGGUGAGGAACCAGAGACCAGCAAUAAUGGGAGUUGUUACGUCCUUGGGGCUGCAGGGGCAGGGAAGGAACAGUCCAGAUCGCCUCCCACCCCAUGUCCUACUGACAUCCCCCAUUGGCUGAACCAAAUUAGCCAGGAGGGUGAGGGAGCCCAGGUGACAGUUCAAGAGAGCAGGAUCCAGGGCAAGGAAAGAGGAGCGAGUGACGCAUGGACAUGGAUUCUCUGUAAACAGACUACCAGCUCAGCUUGCCAGGCUUCCAGUCUAGAAGUAACAUGGCAGCAGCUUAAUUCUAAGUUCCAUUCUCCUUCCUGAAACUACAUAGAGCAACCAAGAACACAAGAAGAAGAAGAAGAAAGCCCAUCACCAGCUCACACAUCAAACUUAACAACAGAGAAACUGGGAGGCUGGGGAAACCCAUAAAUUCAGAAGCAGGUGAGACCAGCAGAACCUACAUGGGACAACAGCGGAGAGCAGAAGGGCGAGGGGUGGGGAGGCACCGGUGUGGGGCUCUCAGGGCUUGCCAGCAAGGCUCAGUCCCAGGAGGAGAGGACCCUCCGAGUGAGGUCUGCUUGAGACAAACCUAAAACCUGAGGAGGGGAGGAAAGAAGAGGAACGUGCCCAGAGAGUCCAGAAGUGCCCAGGCUCAGAGGCACCUGCCAAGAAAGAAGCGAGCCCAGGGGAGAGACAAGACUGAAGCUCUGGAGGCUGCAACUGGGAAAGGAAGGCUGCCCAUAGAAUCUUCCUGAAGCCAGCGGGGUUCAGUGAGGCAGAGGGGUCACGGCUGCACUGGUGAAUCCAACACUUGCUUGUGUGAAAGAAAGGCAGGCUCCUGAGCAGAGGUGCCGGGGUAACUCCCCUGGCUCCACCCCCUGCCCCCCGGGAGUCUCAUGCUGAUGUCUGGAAAAUUCUGCUUCAGAUUCUAACUUCAGCGUCUGGAUAGCGUCCACAGGGGUUUUAUGAUUGAUAAGAAUUCGAUCCAGGAAUCCACUGCAUUUGGCUGGCAUCUCUCCUUGGUCACUGGCAGUUUUGUAGGACUGUGAUAACAGCAUCUCUGUCUUUUCUUGUCUUUCAUAACCUUGACACUUUUAACCAGUACUGAUUUGUUAUUUAUCUUGACCAUACGGUUUCUUGUUUAGAUUUAUCUGAUGUUUUCUCAUGAUUGGGCUGAGGUGACGCAUUUUUGCUAAGAGUGUUACUAAAUUGAUGUUGUAUACUUCACAGAACACCACCAUAUCACAGGGCUUCUGAUGUUGGUAUGUCUUACUGCUAGGGAUGUUAAUUGUGAUCAGUUGGUUAAGGGGUUUUCUGCUGGGUGUCUCUACUGUUGUGGUUAAGAAAUAUCUUGGGAGAGAUACUUGGAGAUUAUGCAAAUUAUGGUUCUCUUCAAACAUAGAAAAAAGUUUUUAAAUUGUAGUAUGUGUGAAAUAAAUCAGACAGAGAAAGACAAAUACCAUAGAUUUCCCUUACGUGUGGAAUCGAAGAAAUAAAAUAAGCAGAAUGAAAAUAGAUUCAUAAACACAGAGAAGAGAACAGUGGCUCCAGAAGAGACUAAGCAAUGGGGUAAAGAGGUACAAACUUCCAAGUGUAAAAUAAAUUCAUCACAAGGAUCAAAGUAUAGGAAAUAUAGUCAAUAAUAUGAUGACAGACAUCAACUACACUUAU
Molecule: long non-coding RNA, 2678 nt
Organism: Manis pentadactyla (Chinese pangolin)
Lineage: Eukaryota; Metazoa; Chordata; Mammalia; Pholidota; Manidae
Exons: 2
Source: RefSeq, a predicted model, not a curated record